RNAcentral lists this ribosomal RNA (1314 nucleotides) under uncultured Alphaproteobacteria bacterium. RNAcentral describes it as "uncultured alpha proteobacterium 16S ribosomal RNA". It matches the Rfam family "Bacterial small subunit ribosomal RNA", at positions 33 to 1394 of the family's 1533-position model. The record is from RNAcentral. Lineage: Bacteria; Pseudomonadati; Pseudomonadota; Alphaproteobacteria.
ACGCUGGCGGCACGCCUAACACAUGCAAGUCGAACGAAGUAGCAAUACUUAGUGGCAGACGGGUGAGUAACAUGUAGGUAUCUGCCCUUUGGCCUGGAAUAACACGAAGAAACUUGUGCUAAUACCGGAUAAGUCUUUACGGAGAAAGCUUUAUGCACCAUUGGAUGAGCCUGCACUUGAUUAGUUUGUUGGUGGGGUAAUGGCCUACCAAGACUGUGAUCAAUAGCUGAUUUGAGAGGAUGAUCAGCCACAUUGGGACUGAGACACGGCCCAAACUCCUACGGGAGGCAGCAGUGGGGAAUCUUGCACAAUGGAGGAAACUCUGAUGCAGCGAUGCCGCGUGAGUGAAGAAGGCCUUUGGGUUGUAAAGCUCUUUCGUCGGGGAAGAAAAUGACUGUACCCGAAUAAGAAGGUCCGGCUAACUUCGUGCCAGCAGCCGCGGUAAUACGAAGGGACCUAGCGUAGUUCGGAAUUACUGGGCUUAAAGAGUUCGUAGGUGGUUGAAAAAGUUAGUGGUGAAAUCCCAGAGCUUAACUCUGGAACUGCCAUUAAAACUUUUCAGCUAGAGUAUGAUAGAGGAAAGCAGAAUUUCUAGUGUAGAGGUGAAAUUCGUAGAUAUUAGAAAGAAUACCAAUUGCGAAGGCAGCUUUCUGGAUCAUUACUGACACUGAGGAACGAAAGCAUGGGUAGCGAAGAGGAUUAGAUACCCUCGUAGUCCAUGCCGUAAACGAUGUGUGUUAGACGUUGGAAAUUUAUUUUCAGUGUCGCAGCGAAAGCGAUAAACACACCGCCUGGGGAGUACGACCGCAAGGUUAAAACUCAAAUGAAUUGACGGGGACCCGCACAAGUAGUGGAGCAUGUGGUUUAAUUCGAAGAUACGCGCAGAACCUUACCAACACUUGACAUGUUCGUCGCGACUCUAAGAGAUUAGAGUUUUCGGUUCGGCCGGACGAAACACAGGUGCUGCAUGGCUGUCGUCAGCUCGUGUCGUGAGAUGUUGGGUUAAGUCCCGCAACGAGCGCAACCCUCACUUUUAGUUGCCAUCAUUAAGUUGGGCACUCUGAAAGAACUGCCAGUGAUAAGCUGGAGGAAGGUGGGGAUGACGUCAAGUCCUCAUGGCCCUUACGUGUUGGGCUACACACGUGCUACAAUGGUAUCUACAACAGGAAGCAAGACUGCGAAGUUAAGCAAAUCCCUAAAAGAUACCUCAGUUCGGAUUGCACUCUGCAACUCGAGUGCAUGAAGCUGGAAUUACUAGUAAUCGUGGAUCAGCGUGCCACGGUGAAUGCGUUCCCGGGUCUUGUACACACCGCC